This 539-nucleotide long non-coding RNA is filed under the name Monodelphis domestica (gray short-tailed opossum). RNAcentral's name for it is "lncRNA (ENSMODG00000045314.1)". Lineage: Eukaryota; Metazoa; Chordata; Mammalia; Didelphimorphia; Didelphidae. The record is from RNAcentral.
AAACUAUAGAUACUAUUUCUGCACCUUCAAAAGAAGUUUGAAUCUUGGUGAGAGUUACAGUUUAAAUGGCAUCCUGGAGAAAUGUGUCAUGGAUAGAGAAAGACUAUGAGUUCCUUUCAUCUGAAUCAGCCUUCUUGCAUUUAUCAACCAGAAAAUGAGUAAAAGCUACAGAUGGAAAAAUCCUGAAAUAACUGUGCAUGAUGCAGGUGGGCUGAAAAACUUUUGGGAGAAAAAAAUUGAACAUCAUGCAAAGAAAGUACAAAAUGAAGACUCUCGAAUAAGCAAGAGUGCCCUGGAUAAGCUCCGCUGUGAAUGGGCUCAGAGACUGGAAAGAAGAAUCAAGAUGCUACAGCAGCCUGAGGAAGUAUCCAAGAAGUCAUCUCUAAUCCCUAUUGAAUCUUUCCCCCUUAUUGAUAAAACAGUAGCCUGAAGUUAUAACUAAAAUGACAAAAUAGGGAAAGUGUUGUUUCAUGGGGAAUGAAAGCCCCUUUAGGAAAUUCCUGUGGAGCAGCAAAAAAAUAAAGUAAAAAUGAAUCCCA